RNAcentral lists this ribosomal RNA (254 nucleotides) under uncultured microorganism. RNAcentral describes it as "partial 16S ribosomal RNA". It matches the Rfam family "Archaeal small subunit ribosomal RNA", at positions 474 to 727 of the family's 1478-position model. The record is from RNAcentral.
CACCGGCGGCUCGAGUGGUGGCCACUUUUAUUGGGUCUAAAGCGUCCGUAGCCGGCUUGGCAAGUCCCCUGGGAAAUCUGGCGGCUUAACCGUCAGGCGUCCAGAGGAUACUGCCAGGCUUGGGACCGGGAGAGGUGAGAGGUACCUCAGGGGUAGGGGUGAAAUCUUGUGAUCCCUGAGGGACCACCAGUGGCGAAGGCGUCUCACUAGAACGGGUCCGACGGUCAGGGACGAAAGCUAGGGGCACGAACCGG